This 183-nucleotide unclassified non-coding RNA is filed under the name Glomeraceae sp. RNAcentral describes it as "partial contains 5.8S ribosomal RNA and internal transcribed spacer 2". The stretch from base 1 to 65 matches the Rfam family "5.8S ribosomal RNA", at positions 84 to 154 of the family's 154-position model. The record is from RNAcentral. Lineage: Eukaryota; Fungi; Glomeromycota; Glomeromycetes; Glomerales; Glomeraceae.
GUGAAUCAUCAAAUCUUUGAACGCAAAUUGCACUCUCUUCGGAGAGUAUGCCUGUUUGAGGGUCAGCCUAUAAAAAAUCGACAUCGUUGCUGUUUCACGGUGGCGUUCGUCGAAAAUUGGGUUAUCUUAAAUCUUUGGUUUAUGCGACUUAAAAUAUUCUUUACGUUUCUAUGUACGUGUCCA